This is a long non-coding RNA of Mus musculus (house mouse), 6336 nucleotides long. RefSeq annotates it as predicted gene, 37047. The record is from RefSeq and is a predicted model, not a curated record. The transcript is spliced from 3 exons. NCBI's taxonomy places the organism in Eukaryota, Metazoa, Chordata, Mammalia, Rodentia, Muridae.
GGUUAAAGGGGCUCUUUGUAAUUGAGCCAGGGAGUCUCCAAGUGAACAGUUCUCACGGGGUGGGGGGUGAUGGUGGUGGUGGUGGCAAAAUAGGAUGGGGGAGGAUGCUUGACACCAAUCACUGAAGGAAGUAAUCAGAGUGCAGCCAAUGCGGGUGCAAGCCUGCCUGCCACCUCAGUGAUCAUUGGCUGUGUCUACUUUAUGAAGCACAGUCUAUUAAGACCUUGGCUGGCCUGCCUACGGCUGCCCAGUGCUCCCUUCUCAAUGCCUGCACUCAGACGACCAGAACUCGAUCAACCAUGUUAUAUCAAUAGCAUUCUCACACCAGGUUGUGUAAAUUGAUCUUUUACAAUUUCUCUUGGUGACAGUCUCUGUAACCAACAAGAUAAAUCAUUCCUCCCGUGGCUUUUUUAUUGAUUGCUGAGACCUGUAUAAAAAUUACUCGGCUCCAGCUGCACGGUGAACGUCAUUGUGAAAGAGGACUUUUUAUUUACAAUCAAAAUAUGUUUGGGCCUAGAUCAAGUGCAGAUUUACUAGCUCGGGAAUUUAACAGACUCCAAGAAAACCAAAAAUUAGAACUCUUCUCCACCAAAACCCAGUCAUGAUGAACUUGAGCAGACAUCUAAUGAGUCUUAAAUUGAGACAACGAUAUUUCUGAAACAGAGGGGCUUCGUGCAUUUGAUUUUAAGACAAACAGACAAUAGGAAGCCAUCUGAUUAAAAGUGAGAGGUACACAAAAGCCCAUAACUGAACUAAAUCUUUGCCUGCAUUUGAAUCACUCACAACCUCUUGUUUCUAAUAGAUGAAUGAAAGCACCAUUGGAUGAGCUCAGACAAGAUCAGAAACGGGUCAAUGGGCCACCCCAGGUAUUUGGUGUAUUUUGAAAAAAAAAAAAGGUAUUUACAUUAUUUUGUGAGCUGAAAAUUAUCACCCAUUCUUCCAUAAUAGUAAUUCUAAGUACUUGGAAAUUUUUUAUGUAAUCAAAGUAAAUACAAAUAACAUCUUUCAAUAUUUCAUACAAACAACAUCUUGAAAUAGAAAGAGUUUUCCUCCAUUGCAUAUUUAUGUUCAAUUAAAGAAGCAAAUGUGUGUUGUUUGGGGGAAAGUUUUAAGGUGAAAUGUGUGUUUACAUUAUCUCUAAUCUUUUUUAAACAAGUUUUCAUUGGGGCACCUAAUUUUAAAUUAUCGGCUGCUAAAUGCUGUCGCUUCCCCCAUUGGGGACCUACUUUUUUUUUUAAUGCAAAAAGAAAGCUGUUACACAUUUUUACAUUCUCACAUAAGAGGAGCUGCUGAUAUUUAUAAAAUAAGGAGAACUAUCCCCACUUCACCCUUCGCAAAAUUCACUUUCUAUGCAACCCCUGUGGGCGGGUAUUGCAUUACAACUCAAAUAGCGUUCCACAGCCUAAGAAUCCUUUUGUAUACAUCUAAGAGCUGAGACAGAGAUAGUUGCUUUUGUCCUUUCCCCUUGAGCCUGGGCUCCGUCUCUCUGAAGCUGUGCUCUUUAUUUGAGUUUUAGAGAAGGCCCUUUCAAUGGGACUGGCCUGGGUAGGUGGGGGUGAGACAGAAGGGCUGUCUGGCUCAGUGUCCUCACUGCCUUGACCCAGAGGAAGAAAACCGAGAUGUGGAAGAGAGUGACUUUGGGACUCCCUCGCCUAGAUGAGAUCCACCUGGGAGUAUGGUCAGGAGCACACUAGGGCCACACUGGGGCUACCAGUAGGACAGGCAGGAGACAGAUCCCUGACUACAGAAGCAGGCUGGGAACUGACAGCUGCGCUCCCAGGAACGCCUUCUUUUAAAGGGUCAUUUACAAGUGUCUUGCCUGGGACUGGCUCGCAGCUGCCUGCUCUUUCCAGCCUGUGGCCCCACAGAUGCCCCCCAGCUCCCACAGGGCAGAGUUCAGUCUGUUUGCACCAGACAGUUGGUGCCUGUGCACAGCCGCACCUGCAGGCUUGCUCACUGUCUCUGAUUCUCUGGAACUCCUCGUGGAGGUGAGAGUUUGUAGGUUCUAUCCCUAAUCUAUUUCCAAGGAGUCCUUAGUCAACACUGUCAGCGGCAAUGAGAACUUUGAAUCUCCUGUUCAGCGUGGGAAGAAACGUUCGGGCGCCCCAUUCCAGCCAGGCACAUCGUCUCCAUUUCUCCUCGCCCGCCUCUGCGACACGUCUGCUGCCACACAUUGUCAGUGAUUGUGGGAAAGGGCCGCCAGCCUUUCCGCAGCUCCAGGCCGCCCUAAUGAGGGAACAAUCGUCCCGGCAGAGAGCAGGCGACCGGGUCAGCGCGCCCAGCACAAAGCACGGACGCCUGCGCCCCGAGGUCCCCGCAGAAAAGGCGAGUCGCGGCCUGGGAGCCAGCAGCGUUUCUUCCAGAUCACCUUGCUGGAACUUAGCUUAGCAGAAGUCAGGCGACAGGAACAAUAGCCGGGUGCAAGGGUGAUCCUGGAGGGAAGCCGAGCUUGGUUCCCGAGGUGCGCGGGAUGAAUAGAGCAGUGGGCCUGUGUCACAGAGCCCCCAAGGCCCUAGUUGGAGGGUCGGUUUUGCCUCCCCAUCCAGUCCAGUCCUGCCUUGAAAAGAAGCAAGAAGCCCUGCCUGGAGAAGGGCUCUCUUCCAGAAAUCUUUCUGUCUUCUUGAUUUUUUUUUCUCUUAAAAUAUAUAUUAGCUCAGACAGACCCUGUCAAUAAUGGGCUGAUAGUAGAAAAUGACGGAAAUUGUGUCUCCUCUGAAGGCAGACACACUUUAUCAGUCAAAAUACCCGUUGAAAUCUUGUAACCCAGAACAGUAUCCUAAGAGAAGUGAGCCCCGCCCCCCGCCACACCCAUGUUUUUCAACUUCAAAACAUUAAAUGGUACAGGGUGGCUCUUUCUGAUUUUAUUUAAUAUUGAUAUAGGCUCUUCUCUACCCUUGACCGGAGUCUAGAGAGGAGCAAGCUUAGGGACGAGGGGUAAAGAAAAAACGUAUUUAGUCUUAACCUGAAAUCUUAAAUGUAAAAUUAUUUCCUCCAAUGACACCAACGCUGCAGUCAGAUACCAGGUUUUUAAAGCAGAGAUUUAGCAGGCAUGGGACUGCCAAACGCUUUGGAUAUCACAUGCUCCCCAAACUCAGGAGUUUAAAGGGGUCGGAAGAGUUGUUUCCUUCACUCCAGCUAUUUACCUAACUCUUUUGGAGAUCAGAGUGACUCCUGGGAGAGCCAACCAUCUGUCAGAACGGGACAGGUGAGAAGACACUCUACCCACUACGGGGUACUUAACAUCACCAACUGGAUCAAAGCUCUACCCAUUCUGCUGAAAAUGAGCAGAAACCCAGUGUUAUCAAAGACUUCCUACCCUACUGUCCCCGAUGCUGCCCAGGAAGCCAAAGCAGGACAGUGCCCAGGUCCCAGCUUAAUAAUAACACCCUACCCCCACCAAUCAGAAGCUGACAAACAAGAAAUGGGCAGAAGGCAAGAGGCCAGGAUGAUCCAUUGAUUUUACUGUUCCUCUGUUGACCCUACCUGAACUGAGCAAGGGGAGUGCAGGAGCAAAGCCCUGUCUUUUGGUGUGCAUAAGGCACAACACUACAUAACCAGGCAAAGGGAAACAACAGACCGUUCAAAAGGUUUGCCAAAGAAGGAAAAAGGAGCCCAGUGAUGGGCAGAAAAGAAGUGGAUUCGACUGGCCUUUUCUGCGGGGACCUGGGGGCGCAGGCCUCAUGCAUUGUGUUGGGUGCGCUGCUCCCCUCAGGGACAAUUGGAUACUGGGCUUAGGGUAAACUGAGGACUUUAUGUUUAAUUAACUUUCCCUACAGUUGUCUGAGCCAAGGUACAUCUAUUCUCUGACUUUUCCUACUAAGGGGUUGGAGCACCUGGAAAUAAAAAGAAAACAAAACCGAGGUAUCGGUGACCCCCAAAUGGGAAAGCGGCUUAGAAGUCUAUACAGACCCACAAAAUUAGAUCAGUGCUCAGGCUGCUAUUCCUGAACGCUUGAGAAGAAAGCUUAUUUCUGAGGAAGAGAAGCCCAAAGUCUCUUUCAAACUGAGCAUCUACUCCCAAGCGGGAUUCCAAGGUUGAUACCCUCUGCGAAGACAAGAGGUCUUUACCAUGGAAAUGACGGAAGAGCUGCAGCUCCACAUAGUAUUGUCCUAGCUCUAGCCUAUGGUUUCAGUCGAAGACGGUGUUGAUUUCCAGAAACACACCCUACUGCAGAAUUCCCUAACUACGCCCUAAGAGCUCAUGUUUAAAACAGUCCUCUCUGAGCCAUAAAAGAACACUGUAGACGUCAUCCUUCCAUUCUGUUUGCUGACCACUGACAGCUAAAACAUUUCUUUCCACUGACAAUUCUUGUAAUGUUGUUUUAUCAUAUUAUUAUUACUUGGAAUAGCUUCAGGAAUAAGUUGGAGUGUCAAAUAAACUUAAAGGAUAUGUUGAAAUUAAUGUCCCCAAUACUCUGAAUCCUGGCUCCUAAAGAUGUUGUAACUGAGUAGCAGUGGCCAUGCAUAUUCUGCCAGCAGUAAAGGGGUCCUGAACAGGCAGAAGCCUAAACUUAUUUUAAAAACAGAUGCAAAAAUGAGCCUGAGUUGUUUCUGUCAGCGCUCAGCUGCACUGCAGCCAUGAUUCUGAACAUACCACGUGCACUUCACACCAUGCAUGCCAGCAAACCACUCAGUACCCACGAUGGCUUCCUGGAACACCUGGGCUCAGCAGCCAGACUAUUGUGUGCUAUGAACUGAAGUGUUUAACUAUGAGCACAGAGUCCUCUGCUCGUGUCUACACAGUAUGCUUGAAUUAUGGAAGACAGAGACUUUCAACAGUUGUCUACUGUUGUUCCUCAGCAGGAACAGCAAAACAGUACUUGGUUGGUUGGUACUGUGCUAGGAUAUCUGGUUUUUAAAAUUGCUGUUUGAGUUGCUGACUUGUGUUGCGUUUAAAUAUAAUUUCAUUCAAUGAAUUUUGGCUUUAAAUUAGGACGGAGUUUCCAAAAUCACCCAAAAUCUGAUACUGCCAUAUUUUACUAUUUGUCUAUGAAAAACAGCAUUAUUCUCAGAACUGACAAUCAAAAACACAUGAACACAGAGCAGCCAUAUUCGAGAGCUCUGCAUUUAAUUGAGAGAUCCUGCCUCAUAGCAGAGAGCUCUGGGCUUGAUUGAGAGAUCCUGCCUCAAUGAAUAAAGUGGAAGAGUUAUUGAGGGUAAUUAUCAACUUCAACCUCAGGCCUCCCCAGACAUGUGCACACACAUCUAUGUGUACCAUACACACACGUGCACAUGCAUCACACACUUGAAAACAUGUAUAUGCAUGCAUGCAAACCACACACUCACAAAAAUAGAAAAAUAAAUACAGACUUUAAAGCCAGAGCACUCCCUUCUAAUUAUUAGUAUAUCUUGUUCAUCUCCCACCAUUUAAACGCACACGAGUUAGAAAAAUGUGUGGAUUUCCUUUUCCACUGCCCAUCCCCUAAAGGAAAAGACAAGACCCACAUUUGGAUUCUUCAAUGAUUCCAUUCAGUUGUUCCAAGGAAACCCCUGAAUGACUUCUCUGUUUCCCAGUUCCAAGUGUUUGGAAUGGUGCAUUUAAAAAAGAAUGUGAAAUACAAUAAAAUAAAUUAUUAUUCUAACCUUGCAUUAUAAGCAUGUCACAAGUUCUUAAAGAGUUGUUUGUGUGGUAAGGGGUAAUAAAAUGUGAUGUGUGGAAGAAAGAAGCGCAGCCUGGAGGCCCUGUUGCAGGGAGUGCUGAACAAUAGAUGCCCUCUGAGGAGUCUGCCUCUGACUUCAGCUCACUCUAUGCCUUUUGAUCAUUUAGAAGAUGCCGAUAAAGCCACGUCAGUUGCCUGGGGAUGAAACCAUCUAGUGACCAUUCUAAUUUCCAGUGUGGGAAGACAAGGUAGUAACAGGUCCUUUGGACAUUCCAAGAGUGACCACCAUGAGUGGUGUGCUCUCUCAUUUUUUUCCUUAAUCCACCCACAGAGGAGGUGGAUUGGUGGGUCCUCACAGGUUUUAUGUAGAAACCUAGUGAGCCCGCACGAGUAAAGAAGAAGUUGUAGAGGCCUCCCUGUGUCCUCGGUUAUUAUUCAACCCAAGCGCUCUGGCUGUUUUCCAGUUUUCAAUGAAGACCCAACUGACUGGCGGUUCACCCGCUCUCCAGCUGGUUUGAAGACCUAUUGGUAGCUUUUUCUUGAACUCUGCUCAUCCUCAGCCCUUCCCUUUAAAGAGAACACAUUUCCCUCAUGUCUGCCUCAGCCGUUGAUGUGUCAGGAGAAAAAUACAAAGGCUUUCACAUCUUAGCAGCUCUGUCUCUUACAUUAACACUCCACUCUUGAAUGUAAGAAAGCAAACUACUGCUCAGUGCUUUAGAAGUGAAUAAAACAAUUUU